This 520-nucleotide ribosomal RNA is filed under the name uncultured Glomus. RNAcentral describes it as "SSU rRNA". It matches the Rfam family "Eukaryotic small subunit ribosomal RNA", at positions 569 to 1091 of the family's 1831-position model. Lineage: Eukaryota; Fungi; Glomeromycota; Glomeromycetes; Glomerales; Glomeraceae. The record is from RNAcentral.
AGCAGCCGCGGUAAUUCCAGCUCCAAUAGCGUAUAUUAAAGUUGUUGCAGUUAAAAAGCUCGUAGUUGAAUUUCGGGAUUAAUUUAUUGGUCGUGCUAUUGUACGUACUGGUAUUAUUGAUUCCUACCUUCUGACGAACCACGAUGUCAUUAAUUUGGUGUCAUGGGGAAUCAGGACUGUUACUUUGAAAAAAUUAGAGUGUUUAAAGCAGGCUCACGCUUGAAUACAUUAGCAUGGAAUAACGAAAUAGGACGUUUGAUUCUAUUUUGUUGGUUUCUAGGAUCGACGUAAUGAUUAAUAGGGAUAGUUGGGGGCAUUAGUAUUCAAUUGUCAGAGGUGAAAUUCUUGGAUUUAUUGAAGACUAACUACUGCGAAAGCAUUUGCCAAGGAUGUUUUCAUUAAUCAAGAACGAAAGUUAGGGGAUCGAAGACGAUCAGAUACCGUCGUAGUCUUAACCAUAAACUAUGCCGACUAGGGAUCGGAUGAUGUUAAUUUUUAAUGUACUCAUUCGGCGCCUUAC